UACAGAGGGUGCUAGCGUUGUUCGGAAUCAUUGGGCGUAAAGGGUGUGUAGGUGGCGCCGUAAGUCGGGUGUGAAAUUUCGGAGCUUAACUCCGAAACUGCAUUCGAUACUGCGGUGCUUGAGGACUGGAGAGGAGACUGGAAUUCAUGGUGUAGCAGUGAAAUGCGUAGAGAUCAUGAGGAAGACCAGUGGCGAAGGCGGGUCUCUGGACAGUUCCUGACACUGAGACACGAAGGCCAGGGGAGCAAACGGG
This 253-nucleotide ribosomal RNA is filed under the name uncultured bacterium. RNAcentral describes it as "partial 16S ribosomal RNA". It matches the Rfam family "Bacterial small subunit ribosomal RNA", at positions 524 to 776 of the family's 1533-position model. The record is from RNAcentral.